GCCCAGGUGGCGGAAUUUGGUAUACGCGCCAGCUUGAGGUGCUGGUUCCCGCAAGGGAUUGGAGGUUCGAGUCCUCUCCUGGGCA
Molecule: transfer RNA, 85 nt
Filed under: Candidatus Jacksonbacteria bacterium RIFCSPHIGHO2_02_FULL_43_10
Lineage: Bacteria; Candidatus Jacksoniibacteriota
Also listed under: 3 other names
Description: tRNA-Leu
Rfam family: tRNA
About the family: Transfer RNA (tRNA) molecules are approximately 80 nucleotides in length. Their secondary structure includes four short double-helical elements and three loops (D, anti-codon, and T loops).
Source: RNAcentral